ACCUGAGUUUAGGAUUUCACUCUUCGGACUGUGUUCCACGCAAUGGAGUAGCACGGGUUCCUGCAAAUUUUCUUUUUGUCAAACUUCCAAGUUUAAGUUAGAAAUUCGUGCAGACACGACUUCUGAGGUCUCGGUGUAAUGACUCAUUGUACUUGGUGUUCAACUUAAACCGGACCAAAUGUAAACAUGCAUUGCUAGUAACGAAUACCUGAGGCAGCAGUGGAUAAUGACUAUGUACACUAUGUCUGCAGUAUAAAGUGAAAAGUGAAAACGU
This is a long non-coding RNA of Ostrea edulis (European flat oyster), 274 nucleotides long. RefSeq lists it as uncharacterized. The transcript has 2 exons. The record is from RefSeq and is a predicted model, not a curated record. NCBI's taxonomy places the organism in Eukaryota, Metazoa, Mollusca, Bivalvia, Ostreida, Ostreidae.